Molecule: ribosomal RNA, 497 nt
Filed under: uncultured bacterium
Lineage: Bacteria
Description: partial 16S ribosomal RNA
Rfam family: Bacterial small subunit ribosomal RNA
Source: RNAcentral
GAUGAACGCUGGCGGCGUGCCUAAUACAUGCAAGUCGAGCGAACAGACGAGGCUCUUGCUCCUCUGACGUUAGCGGCGGACGGGUGAGUAACACGUGGAUAACCUCCCUAUAAGACUGGGAUAACUUCGGGAAACCGGAGCUAAUCCCGGAUAAUAUAUUGAACCGCAUGGUUCAAUAGUGAAAUACGGUUUUGCUGUCACUUAUAGAUGGAUCCGCGCCGCAUUAGCUAGUUGGUAAGGUAACGGCUUACCAAGGCAACGAUGCGUAGCCGACCUGAGAGGGGGAUCGGCCACACGGGAAAGGAGACACGGUCCAGACGACUACGGGAGGCAGCAGUAGGGAAUCGUACGCAAUGGGAGAAAGCAUGACGGAGCAAGGCGGCGUGAGUGAAGAAGGUCUUCGGAGCGUAAAAAUCUGUUAUGAGGGAAGAACAAAUGUGGAAGGAACUAUGCAGGGAGUGACGGUAACUAAUAAGAAAGCCACGGCUAACUACGUG